This 78-nucleotide ribosomal RNA is filed under the name Pogona vitticeps (central bearded dragon). The record is from RNAcentral. Lineage: Eukaryota; Metazoa; Chordata; Lepidosauria; Squamata; Agamidae.
UCUUGGAAACUAAGCAGGAUUAGGCCUCGAGAACACUUGGAUGGAAGACUGCAAGGGAAUACCAGGGAUUUCCAGGAA